Molecule: ribosomal RNA, 1392 nt
Filed under: Ornithinibacillus bavariensis
Lineage: Bacteria; Bacillati; Bacillota; Bacilli; Caryophanales; Bacillaceae
Description: bacterial SSU rRNA
Rfam family: Bacterial small subunit ribosomal RNA
Source: RNAcentral
CGAACGAUGAUUAUCAUAGCUUGCUAGAUAUGAUUAGUGGCGGACGGGUGAGUAACAUUUAGGAAUCUGCCUAGUAUUGGGGGAUAGCUCGGGGAAACUCGAAUUAAUACCGCAUACAACCUACGGGUGAAGGGGGGCGCAGGCUCUUGCUAUUAGAUGAGCCUAAAUCAGAUUAGCUAGUUGGUGGGGUAAAGGCCCACCAAGGCGACGAUCUGUAACUGGUCUGAGAGGAUGAUCAGUCACACCGGAACUGAGACACGGUCCGGACUCCUACGGGAGGCAGCAGUGGGGAAUAUUGGACAAUGGGGGCAACCCUGAAUCCAGGCCAUGCCGCGUUGUAGUGAAGAAGGCCUGUUUGGUUGUAAAGCACUUUAAGCAGGGAGGAGAGGCUUAAUGGUUAAUACCCAUUAUAUUAGACGUUACCUGCAGAAUAAGCACCGGCUAACUCUGUGCCAGCAGCCGCGGUAAUACAGAGGGUGCGAGCGUUAAUCGGAAUUACUGGGCGUAAAGCGAGUGUAGGUGGCUCAUUAAGUCACAUGUGAAAUCCCCGGGCUUAACCUGGGAACUGCAUGUGAUACUGGUGGUGCUAGAAUAUGUGAGAGGGAAGUAGAAUUCCAGGUGUAGCGGUGAAAUGCGUAGAGAUCUGGAGGAAUACCGAUGGCGAAUGCAGCUUCCUGGCAUAAUAUUGACACUGAGAUUCGAAAGCGUGGGUAGCAAACAGGAUUAGAUACCCUGGUAGUCCACGCCGUAGACGAUGUCUACUAGCCGUUGGGGUCCUUGAGACUUUAGUGGCGCAGUUAACCGCGAUAAGUAGACCGCCUGGGGAGUACGGCCGCAAGGUUAAAACUCAAAUGAAUUGACGGGGGCCCGCACAAGCGGUGGAGCAUGUGGUUUAAUUCGAUGCAACGCGAAGAACCUUACCUGGUCUAUGACAUAGUGAGAAUCCUGCAGAGAUGCGGGAGUGCCUUCGGGAAUUCACAUACAGGUGCUGCAUGGCUGUAGUCAGCUUGUGUCGUGAGAUGUUGGGUUAAGUCCCGCAACGAGCGCAACCCUUUUCCUUAUUUGCCAGCGGGUUAAGCCGGGAACUUUAAGGAUACUGCCAGUGACAAACUGGAGGAAGGCGGGGAGGACGUCAAGUCAUCAUGGCCCUUACGACCAGGGCUACACACGUGAUACAAUGGUAGGUACAGAGGGUUGCUACACAGCGAUGUGAUGUUAAUCUCAAAAAGCCUAUGGUAGUCCGGAUUGGAGUAUGCAACUCGACUCCAUGAAGUGGGAAUCGUUAGUAAUCGCAGAUCAGAAUGCUGCGGUGAAUACGUUCCCGGGCCUUGUACACACCGCCCGUCACACCAUGGGAGUUACUGCACCAGAAGUAUGAGUAGCCUAACGCAA